UGUGAACAAUAAAUUAAACCAAAGCUAAAUAUUACUAGAAUAUUCUAGACUAUUCUAAAAUAGUCUAGAAUGAGCUAGAAUGUUCUAGAAGGUUCGAGAACAUUAUGGAGUUCUCUAGAAUAUUCUAGAAGAUGAUUUAAACUCUUUUAUGUAUAGUAGAGAAUGUGAGAAUAUUCUAGAGUAGUGGAAUAUUCUAGAACAUAUGAGAAUAGGUAGAUAUGAAUAUUGUUUAGGAUNN
RNAcentral lists this long non-coding RNA (238 nucleotides) under Nicotiana benthamiana. Its description in RNAcentral is "long non-coding RNA (NBEN_LNC007060)". Lineage: Eukaryota; Viridiplantae; Streptophyta; Magnoliopsida; Solanales; Solanaceae. The record is from RNAcentral.